RNAcentral lists this transfer RNA (88 nucleotides) under Myxococcales bacterium. Its description in RNAcentral is "tRNA-Ser". It matches the Rfam family "tRNA". Rfam says of the family: Transfer RNA (tRNA) molecules are approximately 80 nucleotides in length. Lineage: Bacteria; Pseudomonadati; Myxococcota; Myxococcia; Myxococcales. The record is from RNAcentral.
GGAGAGGUGGCCGAGCGGUCUAAGGCGCUUGAUUCGAAAUCAAGUGUGGGGCGACUCACCGUGGGUUCGAAUCCCACCCUCUCCGCCC